AUCCUCUUUCGUCCUUCCCACU
This 22-nucleotide microRNA is filed under the name Homo sapiens (human). RNAcentral's name for it is "hsa-miR-6881-3p". Lineage: Eukaryota; Metazoa; Chordata; Mammalia; Primates; Hominidae. The record is from miRBase by way of RNAcentral.